RNAcentral lists this ribosomal RNA (460 nucleotides) under uncultured Sphingobacteriales bacterium. Its description in RNAcentral is "bacterial SSU rRNA". It matches the Rfam family "Bacterial small subunit ribosomal RNA", at positions 920 to 1382 of the family's 1533-position model. Lineage: Bacteria; Pseudomonadati; Bacteroidota; Sphingobacteriia; Sphingobacteriales. The record is from RNAcentral.
CCCGCACAAGCGGAGGAACAUGUGGUUUAAUUCGAUGAUACGCGAGGAACCUUACCUGGGCUUAAAUGGGGAGUGACAGCUGUCGAAAGAUGGUUUUCUUCGGACACUCUUCAAGGUGCUGCAUGGUUGUCGUCAGCUCGUGCCGUGAGGUGUCGGGUUAAGUCCCAUAACGAGCGCAACCCUUACCGUUAGUUACCAUCAGGUUAAGCUGGGGACUCUAGCGGGACUGCCACCGUAAGGUGAGAGGAAGGUGGGGAUGACGUCAAGUCAGCACGGCCCUUAUGUCCAGGGCUACACACGUGUUACAAUGGCCGGUACAAAGGGCAGCUACUUCGCGAGAAGAUGCUAAUCUCGAAAGCCGGUCUCAGUUCGGAUCGAAGUCUGCAACCCGACUUCGUGAAGCUGGAUUCGCUAGUAAUCGCGCAUCAGCCAUGGCGCGGUGAAUACGUUCCCGGGCCUU